UCGGAUCUAAAUUUCGUGUGAUUUGAUGCAUUAUUAAGAGAGAUAUGCUUAAUUGAAGUCUUGAAUGUUAAUUUGAUUUUGCUUUGUUUUGCAUGAAUCAUGAUGAAUUAACAUGAAAUAUUGCUUGUUCUAUAACCUACAUGUCAUGAGGAUUUGUUUGAUGUAUUUGUUUUUGAGUUCUGAAAAAAAUUCUGGAAAAAUGUUGAAUCUC
RNAcentral lists this long non-coding RNA (211 nucleotides) under Lathyrus oleraceus (garden pea). RNAcentral describes it as "Pisum sativum (pea) long non-coding RNA (PSAT_LNC018882)". The record is from RNAcentral. Lineage: Eukaryota; Viridiplantae; Streptophyta; Magnoliopsida; Fabales; Fabaceae.